Molecule: ribosomal RNA, 103 nt
Filed under: Acanthosepion pharaonis
Lineage: Eukaryota; Metazoa; Mollusca; Cephalopoda; Sepiida; Sepiidae
Source: RNAcentral
UCACGUUGAAACAUUAGUUCCAAUACGAUUACUGAAGUUAAGCAACGUCGAGCCUGGUCAGUACCUAGAUGGGUGACCGCUUGGAAAUACCAGGUGCUGUAAG